CCGGUGAUCCUGCCGACCUGACUGCUAUCGGAUUGAUACUAAGCCAUGCGAGUCAUUGUAGCAAUACAAGGCAGACGGCUCAGUAACGUGUAGUCAACCUACCCUAUGGACGGGGAUAACCUCGGGAAACUGAGAAUAAUACCCGAUAGAACAUUAUACCUGGAAUGGUUUAUGUUUCAAAUAAUUUAUUGCCGUAGGAUGGGACUGCGGCCUAUCAGUUUGUUGGUGAGGUAAUGGCCCACCAAGACUAUUACAGGUACGGGCUCUGAGAGGAGUAGCCUGGAGAUGGGUACUGAGACACGGACCCAGGCCCUAUGGGGCGCAGCAGGCGAGAAAACUUUGCAAUGUGCGAAAGCACGACAAGGUUAAUCCGAGUGGUUUCUGCUAAAGGAACCUUUUGCCAGUCCUAGAAACACUAGUGAAUAAGGGGUGGGCAAGUUCUGGUGUCAGCCGCCGCGGUAAAACCAGCACCUCAAGUGGUCAGGAUGAUUAUUGGGCCUAAAGCAUCCGUAGCCUGCUUUGCCAGUUUUCGGUUAAAUCCAUACGCUUAACGUAUGGGCUGCCGGAAAUACUACAAAGCUAGGGAGUGGGAGAGGUAGACGGUACUCGGGAGGAAGUGGUAAAAUGCUUUGAUCUCUCGAUGACCACCUGUGGCGAAGGCGGUCUACCAGAACACGUCCGACGGUGAGGGAUGAAAGCUGGGGGAGCAAACCGGAUUAGAUACCCGGGUAGUCCCAGCUGUAAACUAUGCAAACUCGGUGAUGCAUUGGCUUGAUGCCAAUGCAGUGCCGCAGGGAAGCCGUUAAGUUUGCCGCCUGGGAAGUACGUACGCAGGUAUGAAACUUAAAGGAAUUGGCGGGGGAGCACCACAAGGGGUGAAGCCUGCGGUUC
RNAcentral lists this ribosomal RNA (891 nucleotides) under uncultured archaeon. RNAcentral describes it as "bacterial SSU rRNA". It matches the Rfam family "Archaeal small subunit ribosomal RNA", at positions 1 to 903 of the family's 1478-position model. The record is from RNAcentral.